UACGUAGGGGGCUAGCGUUAUCCGGAAUUACUGGGGCGUAAAGGGUGCGUAGGCGGUCUUUCAAGCCAGAAGUGAAAGGCUACGGCUCAACCGUAGUAAGCUUUUGGAACUGUAAGACUUGAGUGCAGGAGAGGAGAGUGGAAUUCCUAGUGUAGCGGUGAAAUGCGUAGAUAUUAGGAGGAACACCAGUAGCGAAGGCGGCUCUCUGGACUGUAACUGACGCUGAUGCACGAAAGUGUGGGGAGCAAACAGGAUUAGAUACCCGGGUAGUCCCUGA
This 277-nucleotide ribosomal RNA is filed under the name uncultured prokaryote. Its description in RNAcentral is "partial 16S ribosomal RNA". It matches the Rfam family "Bacterial small subunit ribosomal RNA", at positions 524 to 800 of the family's 1533-position model. The record is from RNAcentral.